RNAcentral lists this ribosomal RNA (253 nucleotides) under uncultured bacterium. RNAcentral describes it as "partial 16S ribosomal RNA". It matches the Rfam family "Bacterial small subunit ribosomal RNA", at positions 524 to 776 of the family's 1533-position model. The record is from RNAcentral.
UACGUAGGGUGCAAGCGUUGUCCGGAAUUAUUGGGCGUAAAGAGCUCGUAGGCGGUCUGUUGCGUCGGCUGUGAAAACCCGGGGCUCAACUCCGGGCCUGCAGCCGAUACGGGCAGACUAGAGUUCGGCAGGGGAGACUGGAAUUCCUGGUGUAGCGGUGAAAUGCGCAGAUAUCGGGAGGAACACCAGUGGCGAAGGCGGUUGCCUGGAGCUUUGCUGACGCUGAGGCGCGAAAGCGUGGGGAGCGAUCCGG